AGAGAAAAGCUUUAUGGACAGAAGGUUUUGCAUCACACAGUUGUUGUUUACACCUGAAGCUGGAGUACAAAUAAAGCCAUCGCUCUUUACUGCCAAUCCUGCUCUAAUCCAAGCCAGAGCAGCCUAUGGAGCUGCAUGACAGCACUCCUUGCAAUUGUUCCUUGCAGGUGUAGCUUUUAUACACAUUUGACAACAGUUGUCCAGGUCAACUCACAUGCUGAGUCCCAUUUAGUGCAACAAAGAAACAUGUUAAGUAAAGCAGGGAGGGCAUUAUUCAGAAAGGGGAACCUUGGCCUUGGAUGGAAAAGGGAGAACAUGGAGUUAAUUUUCUGGUUUGAAUUACCCUGCAGACAAGUUCAGCUUUUUCCACUGAAUGUCAGGGGACCCCAGGGAGACAGGCCACCAUGGACAGAAGUUUCCUUGGCAGGCAGCAAUUACAGUCCCAUAGACUGACUGGAUAAAAAAAUGAAGCCUAAAUUGUAAAACACUAUAAAACAUUAGGUCUAAAAUCCAACUAUUUUCUCCCUCCCCAUUUCUGUUCCUUUUAUACAACCAUCAGCACCAUCUGUUUCUCCUGUAUCUUCUUCCUUGCUGAGUGUGAUGGAUGCAUUCGACCCCCCUAACCAAACCAGCAGUAGUUUGGUAUGGGCUCCAAACAAUGUAAAGGCUUGAGCCGUAACUGGGCCAAGAACUCCUCCAGGAAACCCACAAAGAGGCAGAAUGACCCAAUGAGCAUCAAUGCAUAUGAGCUUGGAACACCGAUCAUGCAGUUAACACAUGGAUAGCAGGUGGUUUUUCUAAGACCCAUUUAUCAAGGAACAAAGAAAGUUGUGGGUACAGGGAGUCUCAUGCAUACCUUUCCCAUCAUACAUAAUUUGACUAUAAGCCAGCCAUUUUAUCCCAUAAAUAUGACAGCCUAUAUAAGGCUACAUGACAGCCUACAUAAGUGAGCCUUAUUUGAGCUCUCCCUACUAGGCUGAGUGGCUGCAUGGUGGUGAUCUCCCCUUGAGCUGGGACACCUCUCAAGCUUGCUCCUUGAGGCAGAGAGACCUUUCUACUAACAACAGAUCUUUGGAUGAGUCCAGUUCGAGCUCUCUCUGAACUGUAGCUGGACUGCAUGCCACAGUGACCUUCCCCUUCAGCUGGGAUGCUCUCAAGGUUUGAGAUCCCUUACCUGAGACUGAGAGAUCCUUCCUUACCCAAGGUGGAGCGACCCCUUAUUCUCAACAGAUCCUUAGUAAGUUGUUAUAGUAUGCUAAAUAGUGAAAUCCUUGUAGUUAGUUCCUUUAGACACAAACCAUGGUCCAAGUCUGAGACUAAGAUUGGACAUAGUCACACCUAGGAGUGGAUAUUCCGUCAGGAAUAUAAAAGCAAGAGGGGCUGCUCUGAACCUCAUGGCUCAACAGGGUGGUGUCCCUUACCCUUUUGCAUCUUCGGUCUCUGUGUGAAUCAUUUCAGCUUGAUUCCACCUCGAUUUUCCUUUGUAUGUUUCAUUCAUGUAGUAAGUAAUAGAGUGAACCUUGCCAUCAAACUGGCAAUUUAUAAAAGUCACACUUCUAUACAUUCAUAUUAAAACCACUCUUGCUAAUACCUUUGAUGGUGAUUCUCUGAGGAUCCUAAAUCAGGGUUCAUGACAAAUUGGCGUAGUUGGCAGGAUGGAAAGUCAUGGAAGAACAGCUAAAGGUGCCAAGGGGACAUAUAACGGAUGGAAAAUGAAAGGAAUUAUUUACAAAAUGCGAGGCACCUGCCUAGAAGCUGCUUGACAGUUUAGGAAGAAUAACAAUAAAAAGGAACAGGACCUAAAGGAAGAAAUAGAAGGCAGAGAGGCAGCUGAAUUAAUACUGCCUUUGAAAAUUGAGCAGCUGCAGAAACAGUUUACAGGAAGAAAAUGGAAAAAAAAAUCCAAAAGUUGGGAGAAAAGGUUGAUAUUAUGCUUUUGCAGGUUAGGAAAUUAACUGUAUCCCCUGAAGAAUGUGAUGGAAACACACGGAGUAACCCCGACGAUAGUGAACUGGGGGAAGAUGAUUCUUUGUCUCCCUCAAAUGCCCCUGAAUAUGAGCCUAGACCCAUCAUUAAAGCAGAACAAUCUGAAGGACCUCGGGGUGGUGCUCCUCAAUAUAUUGUACAAGUCACUCACUGGGAUCUGUUACGAUUGGCAAUUUACGGGAAAGCUUUAACAGAAAGCCAGGUGAAACUGAAACAGAGUUUUUGUGGCAAGUCUGCCUAAGCAGUGGUGACCAAAUAACACUGAGUGGAAAUGAACAAAACAGCUUUUGUGGUCCAGGAGUUUUCUUAAAUUUAAGACCAGACCUGGCAAAUGCAUCCCAUUGUAUCACCAGCAGGGUAGCUUACUGGGCUAGGGGAAUAAUGUUGUGGAGUAAGGCCAACCUUUUGUAACUCCAGUAAGAUCUCUUAACAAGCUCUCCACAGCCAUCACAAAAGCUGCCUGCAUACAAGCCAUGCAUAAAUGAGAAUCCAAUGGUAUUCCAAUAUCUGCUGCAAUUGAUUAUACAAUGCUAAACCCCUGCUUAGAGGAGCCCUGGCAGUUCUUAAACCCUACUUAAUUGCAAGAUGGAAUGAAAUUAAAAGAGAUACAGAACACAAUAAAGGAUUAGGUGAUAAUGAUCUACAUAACCAACUCCCUACCUGGGCAGAAUUAACGCAUGGCGUUAUAAACCAUGCCUGAGAAAUGGGGUGGGACGACCUGCUAGCCAGAAAGUCGGACCCAAAACUCCAAACAGGAGAUCAUCGAGUGUAACAGCUGGAGCUAGACCAAGGGAGAAUAUGCCUAAGUGAAUUGUGGAAGAAAGCAUUGGCACUAGGCAUUCCCAGGGAUGAGAUUCAGAGACAGCCUACUGGUAUUAUCCUAAAUCUAACUGCAGUGUUUGAGAAAUGUAAUGAUGGCAAAUGGAGGGAGUAUGCCCCAGUUACUUCGGUGCCAUCACCUUCUCCAAGAAAGUGAUAACCCUUUUCACCCCCUCAGGGAGGAAUUGCAAGGCAUGAGGCCAAAAAACAAGUAAUGCCAAGACAGUAACUGGGCUUGCCUGUCAGACAAGUGGAAUUCUGUCAAUGGAUAGAUAGUGAUGGCCCAUAUAUUUUGAGUCCAGUUGGUCCUUGAUGACAACUGAUGAAAUUUCUAAUUGAUACUGGAGCACAAAUUUUAAUACUAAUACAACAGGAUGUAUGACCCAGACAGCAAAAACUUAAAGACACUGGAGUGAAUGGAGCAAGUGCUAUUUGCCAAACUGCAAAAGUUAAUUAAUGGCUCCUGGGCGAGAAGCUCAUGUUGCAGUUUUGCAGUUAAAGAUCACAAUAAAAACAUUUUGCGUUUCAAUGUUCUGAAUGGCCAAAGCUGGUAUGUGCCGGACAGCAGCAUGCGGUCCUUUGGUUCAAACAUUGACCCUAAUCCUAAUAGAAAUCAGGAGGCUACAGUGCAUGUACUCCACACAGCACCUGCACUCCCUGAUUCAAAGAUCACUAAUGUACCACAACACUCCAUUUCUGCUGCUGCUGCAGGAAAGGGAAUUUCUGGAAUCAUAGCUGAUUUAGAGAAAUGAUAAAUCAUCUCCAGAGCCCACUCCCCAUAUAAUUCACCAGUCUGGCCAGUCCGAAAACCAGAUGGGAAAUGGCGACUAACGAUUACUGGUGCUUAAAUGCCAACACAGCUCCACUAACAGCUGCAGUACCCGCUGUUGCAAUCCUAACAGCCACUACAAGCAGCUGCACACCCCUGGAUAGCAGCACUAGAUGUAAAAGACAUGUUCUUUAUGUUCCCCUUACAAAAGGAGGAUAAAAAGAAAUUUGCUUUUAUGUGGGACAGUAUAUAAUAUACCUGUAACAGACUCCCACAGGGAGUUCACCACAAUUGCUCAUUCUGUGCUUGCUGAACUUUUUCUAAUAGUCUCACUUCCUCAGAAACUGUACCAAUAUAUAGAUAAUAUUCUAACUGCAAGAAAUUCCCCUAAAAACGUAGGGGAAGUGGCAACAGCAGUGUGGCAAGCACUGCAUAAAACAGAAGUUGAGAUCUCACCUGAGAAAUGUCAGGGACCAAGAAGAGAAGCAAAAUUUGGGGGUACUUGGUGGAUAGCAGGCAGUGUGGUGAUUCCUCCAGAUACCUUAAGAGAAAUAGAACAGCUGCAAAUGCCCCAAUUUUGGAAAGAAUUACAACAAUUGAUGGGAACUUUAGGAUAUUGGAGGAAACGUACCUGGACUUUCUGCCAUUACUCGCCCACUGUACUCAUUCUUACGAAAGGGAAAACCAUGGAGAUGUAACCCAGAACAUGAGGAGGCAGUCAACACUAAUACAGGAAUUAAAAACAUAUCAGUCAUUGGGACCAGUACACCCCUACGACCCUAUUAUAGCAGAAUGGGGUUUCAUUG
Molecule: long non-coding RNA, 4380 nt
Filed under: Strigops habroptila (Kakapo)
Lineage: Eukaryota; Metazoa; Chordata; Aves; Psittaciformes; Psittacidae
Description: lncRNA (ENSSHBG00005000110.1)
Source: RNAcentral